CUGUAAAAGAGCACACCUUAACCACCGUAAUGGGUUUGGAUAUAUGGAUGCAUGUUUCUCCUAAAAAGUGAAUUAAAGAAAUUCUUCUCCAGCCAGCUGAUGGUCCAUUAGAGGAGGCAAGAUUUUCAAGGGAACUUCUGUAAGAAAUUUCAACCUUCAAAGGGUACGAAGAGGAAAUGAAAGGAAAAAGAGUGAAGGCGCAUUAAAUGCGGUAAAUCCUGUUUUAAAGAACUCUGCGUGCCGUUUGGUGUUUUUGGCAUGUAGAGUGAAAACUAUUCAGCAGUAGAAGGUGCAGAUGAAGUGACAGAAAGAUUUUUUCUUCUGAGUCUUUUGGACCCCUGUCAUGUCACCUGCUGCAUAUAUUAAUACCACAUCAGAUGAACUUGGGUGAAUAUGGGUGAAUGAACUCAAUAAACCUUUGGAGGUGCUUUAA
Non-coding RNA from Paramisgurnus dabryanus, 433 nucleotides. Lineage: Eukaryota; Metazoa; Chordata; Actinopteri; Cypriniformes; Cobitidae. The record is from RefSeq and is a predicted model, not a curated record.